UCUCUGCUCCCCAGCAUCUGUUUGUUGCAUCUGGGGAGAAAGAUAAAUUCUCUUUUUUUAUGCCACUGAACCAAAUUUAAGAGACAGACAAACAAACAGGUCUCAGUAGAAGAGGACAGAAUCGCAUCCACAGCCCAGCUGUCCUCUUUCCCAGGCCCUGUGUGGGGUGCCUUGUAGUCCAUUGAAUUUGCCAGCCCAUCAGGGAUGAGGGUGCCAGAGACUGGCUGAUCGGGCUUAGGGAGGUGCUCCCCCCAGAGUGGGGACCUGGGGGCUCGUGGCCAUGAGCACAAGCUUUGAAGAGGCUGCUUUGUAAACUUUGUAAAAAAUUCACAUCAUUUACAUUUCUCAGACUUAAAGAAUUGUGCCUGGUCACCCAGAGACAUGAUUAUACAUCACCAAACUUCAUUAUAAUAAUGGCCCUGGUACUCCAACUUCUUGAAAGCCUCAGCUGUUCGAUUCAGCCUCUUCAGCUCCAUAACUGUUUAUAAGAUUAAUAGACUCUGAUGCAUAAUUGACUCUCCCACCAGGAGGAAAAAAAAGAGAGACAGUCUAAUCGUAGCCCUGAAAAAAUAACAUUCCCAUAAAGAGAUGGUGUCUGUCCACAUUGACAGGGUCAGGGAUAGAGGAGUGUGGCUAGCACCACCAAGUCAGGAGAGAAGGGGAGACGGAUGAGGAGUCAGCCCCAGGGAAGGGAGUCUCAGAACGUCGAUGGGACAUGUCUCAUCAUUUAGAGGCUUCAGUGGACACCCUGAAAAAUUGGCUUUAUUGCAGAACUGGAUGGGAUUCAAUUCUACAGCAGGGAGCAAGGGAGCAAUAGAAAGGGAAUCCACAGAGCAGCAGGAUGGGGUGAGGGCUUGACAUCUGGUGACAGGGAGCUUAGAGAGAGAACGAGUGCCCUGGCCCCCCUUUCCCUUGCUGAGGUUAUGGGUCACAGGGUGUCACACCAGGUCCUGUAGGAGACCAGACACAUGCUAGGAACGAUGGCAGGGCAGACCUUUCUCAAGGCAGAGGAGCAAGGGCAUCACCUCGCAGGCUGGAGGCAAUGGAGGCCUUGAGAGAGUGCGUGGCGGGGAUGCCACUGCCACACAGGGGUAGGGCAGUAGCCAGGGUUCAGAGGCUGGGUGGGCUCCGGAAGUCUUGGAGAGGGGACAGAGCUGGACCGAGGCACUCGGUGGGCCUGAUGACUCGAAUAAAGGAGUGAGUCUAACCAAAAGGUGGAAACGAGAAGUCGAGUGUUCGAUGCUAGCUUGUCUUUCUCUUGAUCUCCUAUACCUGCCCCUCUUCUCAGGGCUUAUUUUACUCUUCCAGAAAAAGACCAGGCAUCUUGCAAUCUUCCUGAGCAGAGCAAGAUGAGAGAAGAUUGACAUGGAGACAGGGUCUUAUUUUCUACUCUGUAUAGUGAGAGAUCCUCACCUAAAAGACCUCACCCUGUUGUUAGAGGGAAGAGAAAUGUGGGUUAAUCUUUCAUUGUCAUCAGAUUUGUGCUUCUUCCUCUUUACUUAAGUAACUGCUUUAGCUGGACCUCCGCAGCAUCUGCUGCUGCUUCUCCAGCUCCUGGAAAACCCCAAGGGGGUUGCAAAGAUAAGUCUUAACUCUGCCUCUGUUUUCCUUUCAGCUGACCACCAAAUGACCCCAGAGUGAAGAAGGCACAUCAGGCUCCUAUUAAUGUGGCCACAGAUUCACACAUUUGCUUGAUGAAAGCCUAGUGCAAAGGAAUAGAGUCUUAUUGUGGACUUGGAAACCUCCUAGUUAUUUAGAUGUGAACUCACGCUUUUGCUCAUCUCUGGGAAACACAGCACAUUUUUUUAAAGUACAUCUUGCAUCAUGGAUUGAAAGGCUAAGACCUUACCAUUAGAUCUAGCAUGAAGCCCUCACCCAUGCCGUGUAACUCUACAUUUACUCCUUCCUUCCAUCUUCAGGGGAAAAGAAGCAGGGGCUGAUAAAACAAGCAGAGAAGGCCCAGGAGGAUGGACAGGUUAUCUCUGCUUUUCUUCAAGAAGAGAAAUUUCUGAAUUCCCUAUCAUAUCUUCACUUUGAUCAAGGGGAAAGGAAGAAAAGAAAACUCUUAAGUGCCUAAAAUUGGUCCAAAAAUAAAGAAUUCUUCUCAUUUUUCCAUUUAAUGAUUUUGUUCCUGAAACCUAUGGGUGAUUCU
This 2152-nucleotide long non-coding RNA is filed under the name Homo sapiens (human). RNAcentral's name for it is "HSALNT0116273". The record is from RNAcentral. Lineage: Eukaryota; Metazoa; Chordata; Mammalia; Primates; Hominidae.